Molecule: ribosomal RNA, 466 nt
Filed under: Delphacinae gen. 3 sp. 1 XHH-2010
Lineage: Eukaryota; Metazoa; Arthropoda; Insecta; Hemiptera; Delphacidae
Description: partial 16S ribosomal RNA
Source: RNAcentral
UUUAAAUAGCUGCAGUAUUUUAACUGUACAAAGGUAGCAUAAUAAUUAGUCUUUUAAUUGAGGUCUAGAAUGAAUGGUUUAACAAAAAAUAAUUUUUAUUAAUUUAAAAAUAAUUUAAUUUUAUUUUUAGUUAAAAAGCUAAAAUUUAUAAUUGGGACGAUAAGACCCUAUAGAUCUUUAAUUUUUUAAGUUAAUUUUUUUUUUAGUAAUUUUUUAUAUUUAAAUUUUUAAAAUUUUAGUUGGGGUGACUAUAAAAAAUUUAAAACUUUUAUUAAUAUCAUCAUAAGUUAAUGUUUAUUAUAUCCUUACUUUUAGAAUUAAGAAUAAGAUACCUUAGGGAUAACAGCGUAAUAUAAUUGGAUAGUACAUAUUGAUAAUUUUGUUUACGACCUCGAUGUUGAAUUAAUAAAAUUUUUAAAGUAAAAAUUAAAAUUAUUUGGGUCUGUUCGACCUUUAAAAAUUUACG